UACAGAGGGUGCGAGCGUUGUUCGGAAUUACUGGGCGUAAAGCGCGCGCAGGCGGCCUUUUAAGUCUCGUGGUGAAAUGCCGGGGCUCAACCCCGUGCCCGCCGGAGAUACUGGGAGGCUGGAGACGAGUAGAGGCAAGCGGAAUUCCGGGUGUAGCGGUGGAAUGCGUAGAGAUCCGGAAGAACACCGGAGGCGAAGGCGGCUUGCUGGGCUCAGUCUGACGCUGAGGCGCGAAAGCUAGGGGAGCAAACGGG
RNAcentral lists this ribosomal RNA (254 nucleotides) under uncultured bacterium. Its description in RNAcentral is "partial 16S ribosomal RNA". It matches the Rfam family "Bacterial small subunit ribosomal RNA", at positions 524 to 776 of the family's 1533-position model. The record is from RNAcentral.